UCGUCGAGAGGGAAACAGCUCGGAUCACUAGCUAACGUCCCUAAAUGACCGCUCAGUGAUAAAGGAGGUAGGGUGCAGAGACAACUAGGAGGUUUGCCUAGAAGCAGCCACCCUUAGUGCGUAAUAGCUCAGUGAUCGAGGACUCUUGCACCAAAGCUAUGGGUUGUCAAGGGACGAUAAGAUCAACCGAACUCACUCUUAACCAAUAGUAACAAAGAUUCUAAAUUUGCAUCCAAAAAAUAAAUGAUUUGUUGACUCUCUAAUAUCCGAAUAAGUAACAAAUAUUGUUCUCGGUCGCUAUCUCUCGUCUCUCCAAAUUUAUCUUAGAAACUACCUUAUUUUUAAUAACCCUCCAAAUUGUCACGUGAGUCGAAAGAACUCCUUUUGCUUUCGUCGUCAAUCAACUCCACCUCACCCCUCAUCAACCUGCACUGUCCCUGCCACCGCACACCCGCCGCGCACCUCCGUACCGCCGCCGUACCCCACCUCCCGCAACAGCGCCAGCGCUGUUCGCCGCCACACGCGACUCCAACGCUGCCCCCGCUACCGCACCACCGCCAACCUCCGUCCCCGCUCUGCCGCCUUUGACGUCUUCAAGAACGUGUCUUUGUCGGAACCCCCAACGUUUUCCUCCGCUGCGUCGCGGCCAUUCUCGGCAUCGCAGAGAGUUCCGCUCCAACAGGCACGCUGUCUUGCUCACCUUCUGAUUCUCCGCCGUGACCUCCACAGGCACCGCCGCCUCCCAUCCUGUUCGCCGCUCCUCCAGACCAAACCCUAACUGUAUAGCCACGUCAGCAAUUAGGUAAAAAAUUAGGAUUUUUCCACCCAACUUUUUGUACCCAAUUGGGCCUGAACCGGCCCACUACUACACAUUAAGUCAUUUGCCCAUAUUUCAGCAGGAACCAUCCACGUUUUUCAAUUUAAUAUUUCUCUCUUUCCUUAGUUCCAAAGUUAGUUUUGAGUGCUUCCAGCAGAAUUAAUUCCUCCACUAAAGUAUGUGCCACCUUUUCAAAACUCUCCCCUCAUCGGAAACUGAAGAGGCUUCUCCUUUCAUCCAAUGGUUCUUUCAUUAACAAAAUUCAAACUCUGAAAUUUACUUAAUAAGUUGAGUUUAUUAUUACUCAAACCAACAACACUUAACUAUAAUGAGGGGUUGAAUUCAAAGAGGUGAAGUAACAAAAAUAUAAAUCCAAGCUAACGGAUUAAAUUGAAAAUUAAAUUACUUUAACAUAUAUAAAUUACAUUUUUAACUGUAGAUUGAAAUAUUUAUUAAUUUAAUGGAUGAUUUUAAUUUCAUUUGAAAAUUUUACUCACUUUCCAAAUCCAAAAUCAUGUACUUAAAAAGAAAUAUUUAUUAAUUUGACGGUUACUUUGAUUUGAAAACAUUACUUCUUGAAAAGAUAUCCUAAAUGAAAAGAAUGCAAUGCAAUCUAGGUUAGUUAUGUAUGGACCAAAGAAGAUAAGAAAAUCUCAUAAUUCUUUCUCAUCUUUUGCAAUGAAGAGAUAAGGAGAAGAUAGAAUCACCAUUUGGCAAAUGUAAUCUAGGUUAGUUAUGUAUGGACCAAAGAAGAUAAGAAAAUCUUAUAUUUCUUUCUCAUCUUUUGCAAUGAAGAGAUAAGAAGAAGAUAAAAUCACCAUUUGUCAAAAGGUAGGCAUGCAUGGCUACCGUGCUCACAUUUGCUUACAAAAAAACUAGGAAUUUGAGCUUGAAAUAACUGAGCCUAGAGAAGACUUAUAGGUCUUCACAAUUAAUAGAGUGGAUCCAAAAUGAGUUUCAGUCAUGUAACCAUCCAUCUAUUUAAUUCAAUCUUUGGAUUUUUGUGACCUUCUUAUAUGGUCCAACUUAUCCUGCCAUUGUUGGAUGGUUUCAUUUUAGCUCAAACUUCAAUUUACACACUGCUCUCAAUUAAGUGCAAGAAACAAGUUUCAUUUCUAUGCAUUUAUAACUAUUUGUUGUUCCUAUGCAAUUUCUAUCCUUCUAUUUCGUAAAGCUAACAUCAAGUUAAAACAAAAACAAAAAUAUGUGUGUGUUGACGUGCAGGUUGCAAUAAUGCUCAUAAAAAUGAAAAAGUAUUUUGAAAAUAGCAACAUAUAAAAUUUACAUUAUAGUGAACCAUGAAAUAUAAAAAAUGUAUUAAUUGCACACAUUUUCAAUUAUGUUGAAUUUAUUAUCAUAGGUUUAGGUUUAAAAUUAUUAGAACAGUGUAGUUAGGUAGGUGGUAAGAGUAGGUUUUAAACAAGUGAAAUUAGUAGUGAGAAUAUUAUUGGUUACAAAGCCUCCUCCUACUCCACCUCCAAACCCUCCUCCUCUACUUACACCUACUCCAAUUCCACCUCCAGUUUUGCAUGUAUGAAUUUGUUAGAGAAACAUUUUUACAAUGAUGACCACUAUCUUUUACUUGCCUCUACGAAAGGUAGCAAUUUUGAACAAAAUUGGGACCCUUUUGAGAUAAGAAAAGUUGGUAGUGAUAAUGACAAAUUAAAAUAAUUAAAUAAUAAUGGUCCCCUCAAAUUGGUCUUUAUAGGAGAAAGGGACCUCACAAAUUUAUUAGAGGUAAGAGGUGAGUGACAACAUUAUAGUUUUUUUAUAGUUUUUAAAUGACAAGUGUGUUAUCAAUUUUAUUAUUUGAUAGUAAAUGUGAAUUAAUUUCAUCUUGUGAAGAAAUCAAUUCAAACAUUAAGAAAUUUAUCGUCUAGUUUUUGAAACAAUGUUGAUUUUGUAUGAAGGUAACAUAAAGUCUCAUGCUCCUUCCGGUGUCUUAUCUAUACUCUUUUGAAAUCAUGAUGAAAUUUAAAGGAAAUAAAUUUUUAGUUUUUAUAGUGACUUUUUUUAGUUUUAAUUCUUCUGUUUUAUUUAUUAAUCCCUAUUAUUAUAAUUAUAAAAAAAUAAUCCUAGUAAAAUUUAUAUGUAGAUAAACUCUUUUUAGUUCUUAGAUUAUAUAAAUGAUUAUUAUUAAUAAUAAGUUGUUUCAAAAAUGUAAAUUAUUUUGCAGAUUUUAUAAAAUAAAGAAAGGAAAGAAAAUAAAUAUGAUUAUUUUUAAAUAAAGAAAGAGAAAAAAAUAAGUAUGGUUAAAUGUGGGUUAUUUUGUUCUAGGUUCUGAAUUGUUGGAGGAUUAGAAGAUUUAAAUCCUUUUAAUUAUAUUUUACAUUAUAUAUUUUUUAAAUGGGUUAAAAUACUCUUAAUAAUUCUAUUAAUUUUAUUUUUUGUUAUCUAUAAAUUUUUUUUUACAUAUAUUUAUAUAUGUCAAUUAAUGUUUUAAUAAUAAUAAUAUUAACUAUUUUUUAUUAUUAAGCUUUUAUUUGUUUUUAAUUUUAAAUAAUUUACAUAUAUAUUUCUUACGCAGGUGGAAAAUAAAGAAGUAAAAAAGAAAAUUAUAUAUAUUAUAAUAAAGUUUUUUAUUAUAUUUCUUUGUUACUGGCUAAACGAAAAAGAUAAUAAAAAACUGAGAGUACUUAUUGUGUUCUCUUAUCUCUAAGAUUAAUAAAUAGAAUUAAACUUAAUUAUAGUGAAUAUUAAUUAACAGUGUUUAAUUGAUGGGAAUCUUAAAGAAUCGAAAAUUGUAAUUUAUUGUGAGUAAGGUGCAUGAAACAGAAAGAAAAGAAGUCAACCAAUAUGACCAUAAAUACUGUGAUUCAACUAAUGCAGUGGUUUGUGGCAAUAAAAGAGAACUCUGCAAGGUCUCUGAAGAUGGACAGGAAUAUGCAGUCUAAAUAACAAUAGGUGUUUUAUGAGUAACAAUAGAUGUUUUUACUCUAAAAAUAUGACUAUCGUUAAAUAAUUAGUUGUUAUAGUGACUAAAUUUGAGACCAUUUUCAGACUAUAUAAAUUUUUUAUUUCUAAAUUAGUUUCUAUUACUGUGAAAUAGUUUCUUAAUUGGUAUUUAAUUAGCUACCAAUGUUUUAAUUACCAAUUAUUUAGAUUCUAAAUUUAGUAGCAAAAACCUUAGUUGAUAAUUAGAUACCAAUUUAGAAACCAUUUAACAAUAAUAGAAACUAAUUUAGAAACUAAAAAUUUAUUUAGUCCCUAAAAUGGUCUCUAAUUUAGUCACUAUAGCAACUAAUUAAUUUUUUUUCUCUAAAAUUGGUUUCUAUUUCAUGAUUUUCUUGUAGUGUAAAAUACACAAACUUCAUUUGUCACAUCAUAAACUUGUUAAUAUUGUUCUGAGGAUGUUUUACAUUAUAUCAAAAUUAUAAUGAUGCAAUAUAACUAUACAUUCAAUGAGGGACGAAAUACAGUUCUUCAUUACGUGAAACAAAAAUUAUAUUUAACUUUUAUAUUUAUGAGAUUUUUUUAAUAAACUCAUAAGAAAAAAAAUCUAUAAAAUAUUAAUAAAUUUUAUUUUUAAAAUCAAUCUUUAAUUUUAUAGUUGGGUAAACAAACUUUAAUUAAGAGUCUAACUUAUUAUGCAUAAGAGCUUUAGGAGUUGACUAUUAAAAAUUAUUCAUUCACUCCAUCAAGAAAAGAAAACGUUAUUUUAUUAAUGGUUUGGAAUUAAUACAUGUAUUAAUGUCACAUUUAAGGCAUGUACUUACAACUAUAUUUGAAAUAAUUAUGCUAUAGCAAAAAGGUACCAGCAAUAAUAUAAUAUAUUGUAGUUAAAAAAAAUAAGUUACUAAAUUAGAAACUUCAAAGUUAUAACCCGUUAUAACCAAACAAAUAUUAUAUUACAAUCAAUACAAUAUAUUUCAAUAAUGUAAUUAUUGAAAUUUUGGAAAGUUAUAUGUAUAAACAUUUGUUUUUUUAAAGUAACGCAGUGAUUGGGUUGAAAAAUUAGCUUUUAAGAGUAUUCAGAACUCUAAAGUUAUAGUAGUAGACUUGUUGCAAUUGAAUUUUAAACUAUUAAAAGAUAUUGUAUUGAAAAUUAAAUAAAACUAAAGGUUUGAUUAUUGUUUGUUGUUGGUAAAGUGUUUCUGGAAAGGAUGAAGUUAUUUUUCGAUUUGUAUAAUGGUUGAGAAAUUAAACUAAACCAAAUUUAAUUAGUUGUGUCUAUAUCAAUAAUGUUCAAUUAAGAUAUAUAGGCAAUUUUGUUUUGUAAAUUGUAAUAUGUAACAAAAGAAUAUAAACAAAGUAAUUUUUUUAAAAAACUAAUUAAAUCAAUUUAAUGAAAUAUAUAAAAAUUAAUUUUCUUCUAAAUUUAUUAUCUUUUUAACUAAUCAUAUUAUUGAUAUAAAGUAUUAUUAACUUUUUAUCAAUGACUUUUUCGUUAUAAUUUUUCAUCCAACGCUUCUUUCUUUCAUUAACAAAAUUCAAACUCAGAAAUUUACUUAAUAAGUUGAGUUUAGUAUUACUCAAACCAACAACACAAUUAUAAUGAGGGGUUGAAUUGAAAGCGGUUAAGUAACAGAAAUCCAAAAGCGAACCUAAUUAGUUUAUCUUAUAUAAAUUACAUUUUUAAAUGUAGAUUAAAAAUGUAUUAAUUUAAUGGAUGAUUUAAUUUCAUUUGUAAACUUUACUGACUUUUCAAAUCCAAAAUCUUAUUGAAAUAUAUAUUGAUUGUUUAUGGAUUAAAGAAGAUAAAAAGAGAGACUUCCACUUCUACCUUCCACCCUUCAAAAUAGGAACUUCCAAGAUAUUCCAAGAUACUCUCGUGUCCUUCCUUUUUAACAAUAACUUUUAAGACAAUGGUGAGGAUACAAAUGCCAAUACAAAAAAUAAUAAUUGAAGGAACGAACCCUAUGUUUCAUCCAUAACCAUGAUCUAAGUUAUGUCUGAUGGAGAAUUUCUUCAGCAUCUGGUAUUCCUUGUUUAAAGAUAACCAAGUUUCGUUGCUCCCAAAUUCCUCUUACUACAGCCACCCAUAUGCCUUUCCAUACAGAUUCUGCUUAAUACUCAAAUAUGCUAAGUGGAAAUUCUCAAAGUGACACUUCAAAUCCUUAUGUUGGACAAAAAUGAUACCUAUCCACCUAAAGCAUAGAACCCACACUCGUUGCGCAAUGGCACAUUCUAGGAAGAAGUGUUGAGAGGUCUCUUCCAAAGUUUGUCAAAGCGCACAAAUAGAUUAACUAACUACCACUCAUCUUCUGAUAAGGUUGGUUCUUGUUGGCAUUCUAUCCAACAGUAUUCUCCAAGCAGUAGUUAAAACAUUAGGCAAUGCUUUACUCUGCCAUAACUGUUUAAAGAGUCCAUCAGUCGGGCCAUUGACUUGAUUAGUGAGACACACACGUAAGCUGACUUAACUGAGAAUUCCCUAUAGUAUUCCCUCCCCAAAGUUGGAGGUAUGAUUCCUCCCUAUUCAAAACUUCCUCAGAGAUGAACCUUGACAUUUAUUCUUCUUGUACAAAUUCCCAAUCAAACCUGACCCUCAUCCACCUCAACCUCUAAUACCAAACUACGUCUUCCCACACACCUACCUCGCCCAUCAUCAUUCCCUAGUCCAAUGAUAUGGGAUACAACCUAAGGUACAAAUUAUCAAGUUUAUUAUCCAACAGUAUUCUCCAAGCAGUAGUUAAAACAAUAGACAAUGUUUUACUCUACCAUAACUGUUUUAAAGAGUCCAUCAGUCGGGCCAUUGACUUGAUUAGCGAGACACACACGUAGGCUGACUUAACUGAGAAUUCCCUAUCCCCUUCCCAAAGUUGGAGGUAUGAUUCCUCCCUAUUCAAAACUUCUUCAGAGAUGAACCUUGACAUUUAUUCUUCUUGUACAGAUUCCCAGUCAAACCUGACCCUCAUCCACCUCAACCUCCAAUACCAAACUACUUCUUCCCACACACCUACGUCGCCCAUCAUCAUUCCCUAGUCCAAUGAUAUGGGGUACAACCUAAGGUACAAAUUAGCAAGUUUAUUAUCACCAACCAAAACAUCUUCCCAGAAUGUUGCUCUGUUCUCAGAUCCAACUUUCCAAACUAAUGUUUUUUGGAACCAUCCUUGGUCUUCUCCGUCGCCACAUACUUUACUUAAGUAUCUCUACCACCAAGAUUGAAAUUUCACAUUGGUCUGGCUUCGCCUUGAUUCCAAGCUGUAUUUUGAUGCAAAAAUAUCUUCUCACUUUCCUUGUUCUUUUCUCACCAGCCGCCAUUUCCAUUUUGCAAACAAAACACUGUUAAACAUUCUGGUAUCUCUAAUCCCCAACCCUCCUUCCUCUAAGGUUUACAUACAUUCUCCCAACUGACCCAGACUAUUGAUGUAUGAUAUCUUUCCCAUGCCCAAAGAAACCUCCUAUAGAUACUGAUUAUUCUAUUACACACUGAUGCCGAAGCUUUAUAAAAGGAUAAAUCAAGUAGGGGUAAGACACAAAAUACCAACUUAAUAAAGCAAAUUCUUCUCGCCAAAGAUAAGAAUCUCCCCUUCCAAGUACUCAACCUAACACUUAUCUCAUUCAAAAUUAGCUCCCAGAACUGCUUUUUCCAUGGUUUACCUCCUACUUCUAACCCCAAGUAAAUGAAAGGUAUCCUUAUGAGAGUACAAUUUAAAGAUUUUGCAUUUCAUUUAAGGGAAUUCCUCUCAACAUUUGAUUUGUGGAAGUUAAUUUUCAAACCAGCGACCAACUCAAAACACCUUAAUAUAGCUUUAAUUGCAAUGAUAUUGGAGAAGGAGUCUUCACACAUGACUAGAAUAUCAUCCGCAAAUUGUAACAUGCAAGAUUCAAUCUCACUCCUUCCCACCUUCACACCUUUAAGUAGAUUCUCCUUAAAGCGCUUGUCUAACUAGCCCGCCAAAGCCUCUAGCUACAACAAGAAAGAGGAAUGAAGCUGAUGGAUCUCUCUGCCUCAACCCUCUAGAUGGAUAAAAUUCUGUCGUGGGGCUUCCAUUCACCAGAACUGAUACCGUUGCAGACUCCAAGCAGUCUCUGACCCAUUUGAUCCAUUUAUAGUGAAAGCCCAGCCUGUGUAGCAUAUCAUAUAAGAAAUUCCACCUUAUCGAAUCAUACGCCUUUUCAUAGUCCACCUUCAGACACAAUCCUUCCUUCGGAACCUCCUUAUCUCCUCAACCACCUCAUUGGCCACUAAGACGCUAUCUAACGUUCCUUUGUCCUUCAACUGGAUGUCAUCAAUAACCAUAGGUAGUACAUUCUUAAUCCGACAGUAUAACACCUUGGUAACAAUUUUAUAUAAAGCGCCCACUAGAGAUAUAGGUCUAUACUGAUCGAGAUUUAUGGGAUCUCUUACUUUAGGUACUAAGGUUAUAAAAGAGGCAUUACAACCCUCCGAAAAGCAACCUGUUUCCUGAAAACAAAGCACAACUUCCAUGAUGUUGUGCUUAAGAGUAUCCCAGUUAUACUUGAUGAAGUUAAAACUAAACCCAUUUUUGAACCUUCACACCGCCAAACCGCUUCCUUUACUUCUUUCCUUGUGACAUCAUAGAUCAUACUUAAGCUAAACUAACCUACAAAGGUAGAGUUAGUGAAUUGUUUUUCAAUCAAACUCAAAAGUGCGAUUAAACAUAUAAAAAUGCACUAACAUGUUGUUUUGGUUGAAACUUUGCUCAUUAAAUAAUUUAUAUAUAUAUAUAAACUAAACAGUUUCAUUUUUUUUAAUAAAUUGUUCAAACUUUAUUGUAAAAAUUGAGGUUAGAUUUCACAAGUGUUCACACCAACCUAAAGUAUUAUUAGAAAUUAAAAUUCAACAAAAAUGCUUGUAUUUGAUUCUCUUUUAUUCAUUAGAUCAAACUUGAUUGGUUUAAUUAAAAAAAUCAAACACACUAAACUAAUCCAAAUUUAUAUAAUUAUGACUUUACUUAAUUUAUUUUACAAGCUUGUAAACAUUCCUUUCUACUAAACAUUAUAGGUUAAUAUAUUAUUUAGUUGUUUCUAUAUUAACAAUGUUCGAGUAAGAUAUAUAGGCAAUUCUGUAUUCUAAAUUGUAACGUAAUAAAAUAAUAAAAACAGUUAAAGUUAAAAAAAUAAAAAAAACUAAUUAAAUCAAUUUAAUUAUAUAAAAAUUAUUUUUCUUCUAAAUUUAUUAUUUUUUUAUUUAAACAUAUUAUUGAUAUAAAGUAUUAAAAUUUAUCAAUGACUAAUUUUUGUUAUCAAAUUUUACUGACUAUCUUUCGUAUGGUCUUUCAUCCCAAUGAUUCUUUGUUUCAUUAAUAAAAUUCAAACUCGAAAUUUACUUUGAGUAUAGUAUUACUCAAACCAACAACACUUAACUAUAAUUAACUUAACUAUAAUUAGGGGUUGGAUUGAAAACGGUGAAGUAACAAGAAGAUAAAUCCAAGCUAACCUAAUGGAUUAAAUUGAAAAUUAAAUUAAAUUUAUUUAAACUUAAACAAUUACAUUUUUAACUGUAAAUUUAUUAAUUUAAUGGAUGAUUAAUUUGAUUUGAAAACUUUACUUAGACUUUCCAAGUCAAAAAUCUUAUACUUAAAAAGAAUAUUUAUUAAUUUAAUUGAUGGUUAAUUUGAUUUGAAAACUUUACUUCUAUAAAAGAAAUCCUAAAUUAAAAGAAUGCAAUGCAAUCUAGAUCGGUUGUAUAUGGAUCAAAGAAGAUAAAAAUUUCAUAUUUCUUUCUAACCUUUUGUAAUGAAGACAAAAGAAAAAAAUAGAGUCACCAUUUGUCAAAAGAUAGAAAUGCAUGGUUGUCGUGCUCGCAUUUGCUUACAAAAAUACUAGACAUUUGAGCUUGAAAUAACUGAGUCUAGAGAAGACUCAUAAGUCUUCAAAAUUAAUAGAAUGGAACCAAAAUGAGUCUGAGUCAUGUAAGCAUUGAGUAUUUAAUUCAAUCUUUGGAUUUUUGCGAUCUUCUUAUAUGGUCCAGCUUAUUCUGCCAUUGUUGGAUGGUUACAAAGCUUUGCUUCUCAUGCACAACAUCUGGUAUAGAAGAGUAGAAACCACUACAUGCAAUAUAACUUAAUUCAAAUGUUAUAAGCAUAAAUUAUUUUCUUUAAAACAAGACAUGGAAUGUGUAAAACAAUUUCAGUCACUCUUGCAUGCCAAACUUUUAUCAACACUCUUACUUACAUUAUACUUAGUGUCCAUGGCCAAAUCCAACUCCACCGCCACAACCACCACCACUAACUCCAAAGUUAUCACCACUAACUCCAAAGCCAUCACCACAACCAAAUGCGCCACCUCCACCUCCGAAUUCCUCCUCCUCCACCUACACCUCCUCUAAUUCCACCUCCAAUUUUGCAUGUAUGAAUUUGUUGAGAAACAUUUUUGGAGUGAUGACCACUAUGUUUUACUUGCCUCUAUCAAAGGUAGCAAUUCUGAACAAAAUUGGGACCCUUUGAAAUAAGAAAAGUUGGUAGUGAUUGAUGAGCAUAUGUUUAUUCACACUCACUAGCCUUAUUCAUAGAUUAUUGGACUAUAAUAAUAAAUAAAUCCAUUGUUUUAAUUAAUAUUCAUAUAAUUGGGUUUAUUUUGGCCUUAACUAUUAUCUUUGGUAAUUUUGUGUUUUUAGGGUAAAUUAUCUGAAGCAUCUACCUUUGUGAAUGAGCCAAAUAUGCAAAAGUCCAAGUUGCUUCUUUGAAUCAAAACAGAAAACAAAUUUUGAGGAGAAGAAAGAGAAAAUAAAAGCUACAAGAUUCCAGAAACAGAAUUGGAAGCAAAUCUUCUGCAAAAUAAAAAGAAUUAUGGAAAGUGGAAAUUGUUUACAAAAUCUAAACUGCAAUAUUUUCCCAAGAUCCUUGGAGCAGAAAAGCCCUAUAAAAGGACACAAGCAUCAAGGAGAAGAGGGAGAGCUUCAUAGGGUUUUCUUAGUUUCUUUUCUUCUUUAUAAUUCUUUUGUUUUGCCUCCGCAUGGAAGGCUAAACCUUUUUGGUUGAUUCCUUUGUAAUUUCUCAUUGAGUUCUGAGGUUUUGUUCUAUAAAAGUUUCGAUUUUUAAUUCUCUAUAGCAGUUGUUUUUAUUGUCUAAUCUCCUGGAAAACUGGAUUUUGUGAGAGGUUGUACUUGAACGCAUGAUUGAGAGUCUUCCUUAUCUUAAACUUUGGUUUCUUAGUUAGUUCGCAUUGUUCUAAUUAAUUUCUUGGGCACAUGAUUCAAGAGAGAGGAGGUAAGCAUUCCCAUGGAGUAUACGCAUGGAACAAAGUGGGUAUUGAUUAAACCAGUAGACGCAUGUUUUACUGGUGAGUUUCAGUUGAAUUAGAUUGGCGCAUGUUCAAUCUGGUUUAACUCUGUUGAAGGAUUGAGAAAAGAUUAAUCUUUAGAGAACCUGUGAAGAAUUCAAUGGUGGAAGAACUUGGGAUCAACCGCUUUUUAUUUGCUAUUUUAAUCUCUUUUAUAUAUUUUGCACAACUAUCUCAAACCCCUUUUUCAUCUUUAUUGUUAUUGCUAACUUUUAUUGCUUGCAGGUAGAUUUUAAACCCUGAUCAACUGAUUUUACUAUUGGAUUCGUUGGGAGACGACUUGGGGACAUCUGUCCACAAUUAUACUAUCAUCUCUCUAGUGUUAGACAAGUCUACGCUAGAAUCAUAUUAAUUUGACAGCAAAACGACAGCUAUCAGUGAUAAUGACAGAUUUUUUUUUUGGAAAAAUAAAAUAAUGGUCCCCUCAAAUUCGCCUUUUGUAGGAGAAAGAGACCUUAUAAGUAACAACAUUGUAGUUCUUAAAUGACAAGUGUGUUAUGAAUGUUAUUAUUUCAUAGUAAAUGUGAAGAAUUUUAAACACUCAUCCAUCACAAUUUAUGUGUUUUUAAUCUUUAAAUAAUUUACAUACUUAUUAUGUAGGUGGAAAAUAAAGAAGUAAAAAAGAAAAUUCUAUAUUUAUUUUUAUUAUAAUAAAGUUUUUUAUUAUAUUUCUUUGUUACUGGCUAAAUGAAAAAGAUAAUAAAACCUGAUGGAGUAACUUAUUAAGUUCUUUUAUCUCUAAGAUACGACUUUAGGAAUUAUAAAUUGAAUUAAACUUAAUUAUAGUGAAUAUUAAUUAACAGUGUUUAAAUGAUGGGAAUCUUAAAGAAUCGAAAAUUGUAAUUUAACAGUGUUUAAUUGAUGUGUGCAUGCAUCUAUAUAAAAUUAUUUCUCUAUUAUUUCUCUAUUUUCUGUGUAAAAGGAAAUUGGUGUCUUUCUGUUAGAAUUUCUUUUUUAAAUUAUUCUUCGAUUUUCAUUUUUUUCGAUCUUAUCUCAGUGUUGAUGGGUGAAAUUAUUCAGUUUAGUUAAUUGGCUUGAUUAUACAAGGAGAACAAAAUAAUAUAAAAAACAAAGAAAACACAGAGUAAUGUGCAUUCAACUAAAAAUUUGCAUGAUCCAAUAUUAAUUUACAGAAAUACAGUUAAUAUACAUUUCUUUCUUUAUUUCUUUUUCUCUCUAUAUAUAUACAUGACAUGCUAAUUAAAACUUAAAUGAUAAAUAUUUUUUACAAAAUUGUUAAAGAUGGAACUAUUUCAAAAAUAGAAGCAAAUGCUUGAAAUAAUAUAAUUUGAACUUAUUUCAAAUUUAAAAAAUUUAUAUAUUUUUAUUUUAAAAUACUCAUAUCUUAAUCAACAGAAAGAGGCAAAGUAUGUAUUGUAGCAUUGAAGACAUGGCUUGGUGUGUGACUAAUUGAGACCAUUAAACAUAAAGAAUCCAUUUAAAGUGGGUGGUAAUAAAAGGGUAGCAAGCGUAGUUUGCCAAAACAGGAAAAAGUUCAAAACAACAUAAAAGCUCUAUGUUUUCCCCAACUCUUUAUAAUAAUACACGAGGCCUUGAAGGAGAUUCAUGACUUUUUUGUUUCACUGUCUUCCUAUAUAUUAUGUACUUGGUAUCUAUUAUAGGAGAAAAAACACGAUUCCACCAACCUUUCCUCUCCCUUCUUCCUUCUAUUCACAUCCAAGUUCAUACAAAACCCCAUAGAAAUGAGAGGUAGAGAUAUUCUCUAAAGCAACAAAACAAAAAAAGUUACUAGAAAUUCAACAAGACCCUCCUCCUCCGUCUCCUCCUUCUCAACUCUCUUUUGCUUACAAUCAUAAGAAAAAACUGGACACCUCAAAACCAAUACACUCCACCAUGAACAACAAAGCCCCAAGUUUUGAUGAUUCUAAUGUUGAUUGCAAUGUUUCCCCAAAUCAAAAUCUAAGACAACAACAUGGCCAACAACAGCUCAGAAGACAAGCUAGAAGAAGGCUUACUAAUAGGCCUUAUCAAGAAAAUCUAAUGAAUAUGACAGAGGCAAGGAAAGAGAUUGUCACUGCCCUGAAAUACCACAGGGCAACCAUGAAACAGGCCAAUGAGCAUCAACAACUCCAACAACAUCAUCCAGUGCCUUUCCAACCUCCAUUUUAUUCAAGGUUUAGCCCGGAUGGAAGAUUCAAGGCUAGGAGAAGGCCUAAGAUGUUUCUACCACCAUCAAACAAAAUUUCACAUUACUUAAAUGAUCUUUCCUUCUCCUCACCUUUCCCACCCCUUCCUUCUCUUCAUUUUCCUCCACCUCCUCUUCCUCUUCCUCCUCCUCCACUUUCAAAUUUAUACUCCAACACCAUUCCUUCCCCAUUUUCUCAUCCACACCCUCAUCCAGAAACUCCCAAUUUCAUACUUCCAAGUCAGGCAUUGGGAUUCAAUCUUAAUCUACACAAAUUCAACAGUUUAAAACCGCCCCUUUGCUUAAUAAGAACACUUUAGACCCUACCAUUUUGCUUAAUAACAACACUUUGAAUCCUACCCUUUUGCUGGAUAACAACAUGUUAGAUCCUACCCUUGUGUUGGAUAACAACAUGUUGGAUCCUAUCCCUGUGCUUAACAACAUUUCAGAUCCUACCCGUGUGCUGAAUAACAACAACAAUUUAGAACCUGCCAUUUUUCCUUACAACAAUAAAUCAUCACUGUGCUCUUACUCAUCUCCAACAUUAACUUUCCCUCCAUUUGUGACUGGUCAAGACGUUCCUUCGAUUGAAAUAUCACAACCACAUGGAUAAGGAGUUUCCACAGUGAUUAAUACCGUUGAAUCCAGUACUACAACCCAAGCUAGUGGAAGCAUGCAUGUGGACAUGGAUGAAGAGGGCAUGGAAGAGAUCAGAGCAUUGGGCGAGCAACAUCAAAUGGAAUGGGAUGACAAUAUGAGUCUGGUCACUUCAGUUUGGAGGUUCAAUUGCUUACACCAAAUGGAACAUAAUGCACUUGAAUUCAACAAUGAAGUUGAGAAAUGUCAUGGGACCUUUGAUGAUGAACUUGAAUUUUCUCUAUGGGAAAAUUAAUGAUCUGUAAGACAAGCUUACAAUAGUGUGCUCCCUGGAUUUAGUACACUGGAUUUUGUCGGGUAGCUCUGUUAGGGUUUUGUUUUAGUGGGAAAAUUACCCAUUUUUCCCAACACUAGGGGAUAUCCUGGUUUUGCUACUUGUGGAGGUAUUUUCUGUGGGAGUAUGAGGGAAUUUAUUGGAGCUUUCUCUGCGUUUCUUGAAGUUCAGAUUGCUCUAAUUGCUGAGUUUUAUGAGGUUAUACAUGCUAUGGAGGGAACUCAAAAGAUGGGGCUUACUAGUGUCUGGUUGGAAUGUGAUUCUGCUUUGGUUUGUGAUGCGUUUACUGCUAGGACAAAUGUUCCUAGGAUGCUUCGGAAUUGAUGAAACACUUUUCUUAAUUACUGUGGGAAAAUCAGGUUUAUGAUUACUCAUCAUAUUUUUCGUGAAGUGAAUGUGCAUGCUGAUAAGUUGACUAAUUUAGGAUUUAUUCAUAGAAAAUAAUUUCAUUGUUUUUUUUUUCAUAAGCAACAUUGAUAUAAUAAGUUUUCAUCUAAUCUAUAAGAAAAUGAUAAAAAAAUGGUAUGAAUAAGAGAUGUUUCUUAUUCUCUUAUGUGUAUAUUACAUCACUCAUGUAUAGGAAAUAUAUAGGGAGUUUCUAUCUCUCAAAUUACAAUCUAAUUAGGUAAGAUACUAAUCAUGAGAUUCUAUAAUUAUUAAAUUAAUUGCAUAUAAUUGGGUACAAUAUCGUCAAAUAUUGCCUACAAUAAUUGCAUAUAAUUUGAUAAUUAUUAUUUCCUUAAUAUAAUCUAUUAUUAGAAUUCUUUAUGAAUAGGUAUAGUCUACCUAUGUAUCGUUUUUGUUAACAUAUGAGUUUUGGCCUAAUCCCCUCAUAUUUUUGUAUUUUUUUAAUAAUACUUUUUUCACGGGAUGAUAGAUGAUUGUUGUUACUUGAGAUGUCAGUCUAGCUGAGAUGUCAAGUUGCAUAAUGAUGUUUAACAUGAAAGCAUUUUUAUAAAACUAAACAUUUUCAUAUUCUCCUUUUUAAUAAAAUUUUCAAACCUGUAUACUAAAAACUGAGGUUAGAUUUCAUAAUUCUUCGUAGUUGAAUCACACCAACCUAAAAUAUUAUUAGAAGUUAAAAUUCAAAAAAAAAUGCUUGUGAAUAAUUAUCUUUCAUUCUUUAGAUCAAAAUUGAUUGGUUUAAUUUUUUAUUUAAAAAAUCAAACACAGUAAACUAAACCAAAUGUAUAUAAUUAUGACUUUACUUCAUUAUUUUACAAGCUUGUAAAUGUUUCCACUCUUUUCUACUAAACAUUCUAAGUUAAUAUAUUAGUUGUGUCUAUAUUAAUGAUGUUCCAUUAAGAUAUAUAGGCAAUUCUGUUUUGUAAAUUGUAACAUGUAGUAAAGGAAGGCUGAUAAGAAAAUGUAAUAAUAAACAAUGUUAAAGUUAAAAAAAAUAAAAAAACUAAUUAAAUCAAUUUAAUGAAAUAUAUAAAAAUUAGUUUUUUUUAAUUUAUUAUCUUUUAACUAACCAUAUUAUUGAUAUAAAGUAUUAUUAACUUUUAUAAAUGACUAAUUUUUAUUAUAAAUUUUCACUAAUUACUAUAUUUGAUAUUUUUUUUAUUAACAAGAAAUAAUUAAAAUAAAUUGACUCACUUAAGGAUGGUCAAACCAUCAUACGGAGUAAGAAAGGACAAAUAUUUUCACAUACACAUAAAAAAAUCAUAAAGAAAUCUUCAACCGCCUUUCUCAACUCUACCUAUUACAAAAGAAACAAAAAAAAAUCCAGAAACAACUCUUAUAAUGACAUUAAAUAGAAUAUAUACCUACCAAGAGUAUCUUUGAAGCAUCAAAAACCAAACCUUAAUUUGUAUUAGAAAAAAAACUUAUGAUUGAUCACUCCACCUUUACAUAAACAAUUAUUUAUGUGUCUUCAAAUCUCACUAACCUAUAAUACGAUUAAUUGAGUGAAAACAUCCAGAAUUUUGGAACGUUCAAAAUGUGACCCAUCGGCCAGUGAGACAAUGGGGGAUAAGCUUCUUCGUCGAGAGGGAAACAGUCCGGAUCACCAGCUAAGGUCCCUAAAUGACCACUAAGUGAUAAAGGAGGAACGGUGCAGAGACAACUAAGAGGUUUGUCUAGGGUAGCCACCCUUGAAAGAGUGCGUAAUAGCUCACUGAUUGAGGACUCUUGUCAAGGGACGAUAAGAUCAACCGAACUCACUCUUAAGCAAUAGUAACAAAGAUUUCAAAUUAACCAAACAACUUUACAUCCGAAGAAUAAAUGAUUUGUUGACUCUCUAAUAUCCGCAUAAACAACAAAUAUUGCUCUCGGUCGUUAUCUCUCGUCUCUUCAAAUUUAUCUUAUCCGCAUAAGCAACAAAUAUUGCUCUCGGUCGUUAUCUCUCGUCUCUUCAAAUUUAUCUUAGAAACUAUCUUAUUUUUAAUAACCCUCCAAGAUGUACCUUUGCUUUCGUCUUUAAUCAACCGCACCUCACCCCUCACCUUCUUCCUCAUCAACCUGCACUGUCCCUGCCACCGCACACCCGCCGCGCACCUCCGUACCGCCGCCGCACCCCGAUCCCGCGCCUGCGCCGUCCGCCGCGACGCGCAGCCCCAUCUCCCGCAACAGCGCCAGCGCUGUUCGCCGCCACACGCGACUCCAACGCUACCCCCGCUACAGCACCACCGCCAACCUCCGUCCCCGCGCUGCCGCCUUUGACGUCUUCAAGAACCCCCAACGUUUUCCUCCGCUGCGUCGCGAGCCAUUCUCGGCAUCGCAGAGAGUUCCGCUCCAACAGGCACGCUGUCUUGCUCUCCUUCUGAUUCUCCGCCGUGACCUCCACUGGCACCGCCGCCUCCCAUCCUGUUCGCCGCUCCUCCAGACCAAACCCUAACUGUAUAGCCACGUCAGCAAUUAGGUAAAAAGUUAGGAUUUUCCCAUCCAACUUUUUGUACCCAAUUGGGCCUGAACCGGCCCACUACUACACAUUAAGUGAUUUGCCCAUAUUUCAGCAGGAACCAUCCACGUUUUUCAAUUUAAUAUUCCUCUCUUUCCUUAAUUCCAAAGUUAGUUUUGAGUCUUUCCAGCAGAAUUAAUUCCUCCACUAAAGUAUAUGCCACCUUUUCAAUACUCUCCCUUCAUCGGAAACUGAAGAGGCUUCUCCUUUCAUCCAAUGCUUCUUUCAUUAACAAAAUUCAAACUCGAAAUUUACUUAAUAAGUUGAGUUUAUUAUUACUCAAACCAACAACACUUAACUAUAAUGAGCGGUUGAAUUCAAAGAGGUGAACUAACAAAAAUAUAAAUCCAAGCUAACGGAUUAAAUUGAAAAUUAAAUUACUUUAACAUAUAUAAAUUACAUUUUUAACUGUAGAUUGAAAUAUUUAUUAAUUUAAUGGAUGAUUUUAAUUUCAUUUGAAAAUUUUACUCACUUUCCAAAUCCAAAAUCAUGUACAUAAAAAGAAAUAUUUUUUAAUUUGACGGUUACUUUGAUUUGAAACAUUACUUCUUGAAAAGAUAUCCUAAAUGAAAAGAAUGCAAUGCAAUCUAGGUUAGUUAUGUAUGGACCAAAGAAGAUAAGAAAAUCUCAGAUUUCUUUCUCAUCUUUUGCAAUAAAGAGAUAAGAAGAAGAUAGAAUCACCAUUUGGCAAAUAGUUAUGAUUGGAUCAAAGAAGAUAAGAAAAUCUUAGAUUUCUUUCUCAUCUUUUGCAAUGAAGAGAUAGGAAGAAGAUAGAAUCACCAUUUGUCAAAAGGUAGGCAUGCAUGGUUACUCUGCUCACAUUUGCUUAAAAAAAACUAGGAAUUUGAGCUUGAAAUAACUGAGCCUAGAGAAGACUUAUAGGUCUUCACAAUUAAUAGCGUGGAUCCAAAAUGAGUUUCAGUCAUGUAAGCAUUGUCUAUUUAAUUCAAUCUUUGGAUUUUUGUGACCUUCUUAUGUGGUCCGCUUAUUCUGCCAUUGUUGGAUGGUUUCAUUUUAGCUCAAACUUCAAUUUACACACGGCUCUCAAUUAAGUGCAAGAAACAAGUUUCAUUUCCAUGCAUGUAUAACUAUUUGUUGUUCGUAUGCAAUUUCUAUCCUUCUAUUUGGUAAAGCUAACAUCAAGUUAAAACAAAAACAACAAAAACAAAAAUAUGUAUGUGUUGACGUGCAGGUUGCAAUAAUGCUCAUAAAAAUGAAAAAGUAUUUUGAAAAUAGCAACAUAUAAAAUUUACAUUAUAGUGAACCAUGAAAUAUAAAAAAUGUAUUAAUUGCACACAUUUUCAAUUAUGUUGAAUUUAUUAUCAUAGGUUUAGGUUUAAAAUUAUUAGAACAGUGUAGUUAGGUAGGUGGUAAGAGUAGGUUUUAAACAAGUGAAAUUAGUAGUGAGAAUAUUAUUGGUUACAAAGCCUCCUCCAACUCCACCUCCAAACCCUCCUCCUCUACUUACACCUACUCCAAUUCCACCUCUUUUACUUGCCUCUACGAAAGGUAGCAAUUUUCAACAAAAUUGGGACCCUUUUGAGAUAAGAAAAGUUGGUAGUGAUAAUGACAAAUUAAAAUAAUUAAAUAAUAAUGGUCCCCUCAAAUUGGUCUUUAUAGGAGAAAGGGACCUCACAAAUUUAUUAGAGGUAAGAGGUGAGUGACAACAUUAUAGUUUUUUAUAGUUUUUAAAUGACAAGUGUGUUAUCAAUUUUAUUAUUUGAUAGCAAAUGUGAUUUAAUUUCAUCUUGUGAAGAAAUCAAUUCAAACUUUAAGAAAUUUAUCGUCUAACUUUUGAAACAAUGUUGAUCUUGUAUGAAGGUAACAUAAAGUCUCAUGCUCCUUCCGGUGUCUUAUCUAUACUCUUUUCAAAUCAUGAUGAAAUUUAAAGGAAAUAAAUUUUUAAUUUUUAUAAUGACUUUUUUUAGUUUUAAUUCUUCUGUUUUAUUUAUUAAUCCCUAUUAUUAUAAUUAUAACAAUAAUAAUCCUAGUAAAAUUUAUAAGUAGAUAAACUCUUUUUAGUUCUUGGAUUAUAUAAAUGAUUAUUAUUAAUAAUAAGUUGUUUAAAAAAUGUAAAUUAUUUUGCAGAUUUUAUAAAAUAAAGAAAGAAAAGAAAAUAAGUAUGAUUAUUUUUAAAUAAAGAAAGAGAAAAAAAUAAGUAUGGUUAAAUGUGGGUUAUUUUGUUCUAGGUUCUGAAUUGUUGGAGGAUUAGAAGAUUUAAAUCCUUUUAAUUAUAUUUUACACUAUAUAUUUUUUAAAUGGGUUAAAAUACUCUUAAUAAUUCUAUUAAUUUUAUUUUUUGUUAUCUAUAAAAAAAAUGUACAUAUAUUUAUAUAUGUAAAUUAAUGUUUUAAUAAUAAUAAUAUUAACUAUUUUUUAUUAUUAAACUUUUAUUUGUUUUUAAUUUUAAUAUAUAUUUCUUAUGCAGGUGGAAAAUAAAGAAGUAAAAAAAAAAUUCUAUAUAUUAUAAUAAAUUUUUUUAUUAUAUUUCUUUGUUAUUGGCUAAACGAAAAAGAUAAUAAAAUAAAAAACUGAGGGAGUAACUUAUUGUGUUCUUUUAUCUCUAAGAUAGGACCCUAGGAAUUACAAAUUGAAUUAAACUUAAUUAUAGUGAAUAUUAAUUAACAGUGUUUAAUUGAUGGAAAUCUUAAAGAAUCAAAAAUUGUAAUUUAUUGUGGGUAGGGUGCAUAAAGGAGAAAGAAAAGAACUCAAACUAUAUGACCAUAAAUACUAGGAUUCAACUAAUGCAGUUGUUUAUGGCAAUCAAAAAGAACUCUGCAAGGUCUCUGAAGAUGGGCAUAAAGAUGCAAUCUAAAUAACAUUUAUGAGUAACAAUAGGUGUUUUAUGAGUAACAAUAGGUGUUUUUACUCUUAAAAAAUCACUAUUGUUAAAUAAUUAGUUGUUAUAGUGACUAGAUUAGAGAUCAUUUUAGAGACUAAAUAAAUUUUUUAUUUUUAAAUUAGUUUAUAUUAUUGUGAAAUAGUUUCUAAAUUAGUAUUUAAUUAGCUACCAAGGUUUUAAAUACCAAUUAUUUAGAUUCUAAAUUUAGUAGCAAAAACCUUAGUUGCUAAUUAGAUACUAAUUUAGAAACCAUUUAACAAUAAUAAAAACUAAUUUAGAAAUAAAAAUUUAUUUAGUCCCUAAAAUAAUCUCUAAUUUAGUUACUAUAGCAACUAAUUAUUUUUUGCCUCUAAAAUUAGUUUUUAUCUCAUAAUUGUCUUGUAGUGUAAAAUCCACAAACUUCAUUUGUCACAUCAUAAACUCGUUAAUAUUGUUCUGAGGAUGUUUUACAUGAUAUCAAAAAUAUAAUGAUGCAAUAGAACUACACAUUCAAUGAGGGAUGAAAUAUAGUUCUUCAUGACAUGAAAUGAAAAAUAUAUUUAACUCUUAUAUUUAUGAGAUGUUUUUUUAAUAAACUCAAAAAAAAUCUAUAAAAAAUUAAUAAAUCUUAUUUUAAAAAUCAAUCUUUGAUUUUAUAGUUGGGUAAACAAACUUUAAUUAAGAGUCUAACUUAUUAUGCAUAAAAGCCAUAGGAGUUGACUAUUAAAAACUAUUCAUUCACUCCAUCAAGAAAAGAAAACGUUAUUUUAUGAAUGGUUUGCAAUUAAUACAUGUAUUAAUGCCACAUCUAAGACAUGUACUUACAACUAUAUUUGAAAUAAUUAUGCUAUAGCAAAAAGGUACCAGCAAUAAUAUAAUAUAUUGUAGUUAAAAAAAAUAAGUUACUAAAUUAGAAACUUCAAAGUUAUAACCCGUUAUAACCAAACAAAUAUUAUAUUACAAUCAAUACAAUAUAUUUCAAUAAUGUAAUUAUUGAAAUUUUGGAAAGUUAUAUGUAUAAACAUUUUUUUUUUAAAGUAAUGCAGUGAUUGGGUUGAAAAUUUAGCUUUUAAGAAUAUUCAGAACUCUAAAGUUAUAGUAGUAGACUUGUUGCAAUUGAAUUUUAAACUAUUAAAAGAUAUUGUUUUGAAAAUUAAAUAAAACUAAAGGUUUGAUUAUUGUUUGUUGUUGGUAAAGUGUUUUAGGAAAGGAUUAAGUUAUUUUUCGAUUUGUAUAAUGGUUAAAAAAAGUGCAUAUUAUUUUAUUCUUUUUUUAAUAAAAAAUUAAUAAAUAGAAAAACUAAACAUUUUUAUAUUUUUUUUAUAUAAAUUGUUCAAGGCUGUACACUAAAAACUGAGGUUAUAUUUCACAACUGUUCAUACAUACGAAUAUAAAAUUAUUAGAAAUUAAAAAUCAACAAAAAUGCUUGUUUUUUAUUCUCUUUUAUUCUUUAGAUAAAAAUUGAUUGGUUUAAUUUUCUUAUUUAAAAAAAUAAAUACACUAAACUAAACCAAAUUUAUAUAAUUAUGACUUUACUUCAUUUAUUUUGCAAGCUUAGCUUGUAAAUGUUUCCACUCCUUUCUACUAAACAUUCUAGGUUAAUAUAUUAAUUAGUUGUAUCUAUAUCAAUAAUGUUCAAUUAAGAUAUAUAGGCACUUUUGUUUUGUAAAUUGUAAUAUGUAACAAAAGAAUAUAAACAAAGUAAUUUUUUUUAAAAACUAAUUAAAUCAAUUUAAUGAAAUAUAUAAAAAUUAAUUUUCUUCAAAAUUUAUUAUCUUUUUAACUAAUCAUAUUAUUGAUAUAAAGUAUUAUUAACUUUUUAUCAAUGACUUUUUCGUUAUAAUUUUUCAUCCAACGCUUCUUUCUUUCAUUAACAAAAUUCAAACUCAGAAAUUUACUUAAUAAGUUGAGUUUAGUAUUACUCAAACCAACAACACAAUUAUAAUGAGGGGUUGAAUUGAAAGCGGUUAAGUAACAGAAAUCCAAAAGCUAACCUAAUUAGUUUAUCUUAUAUAAAUUACAUUUUUAAAUGUAGAUUAAAAAUGUAUUAAUUUAAUGGAUGAUUUAAUUUCAUUUGUAAACUUUACUGACUUUUUAAAUCCAAAAUCUUAUUGGCCAUAAGCUUUUUGGUCUUCUAGCUUAAUGGCUCUCUGCUGGAAAGUGUGUUUAGUUCUUAAAAUUUAUAGGAAGAGUAUCUAGUUUUUGCAGGUUUGUGUGAGCCUUUUAUGUGCUCCCUGGUGAAUGGUCUUUAUGUAUACGGGUUGGGACACCCCUGAAGUGUCCCCUUUUUUCAAUUUAUUAAUUCUUUGCAGAUCAAAAAAAAAAUUGAAAUCUAGAUUGAUCCUUUAUGGAUUAAAGAAGAUAAAAAGAGAGACUUCCACUUCUACCUUCCACCCUUCAAAAUAGGAACUUCCAAGAUAUUCCAAGAUACUCUCCCUGCCCUUCCUUUUUAACAAUAACUUUUAAGACAAUGGUGAGGAUUCAAAUGCCAAUACAAAAAAUAAUAAUUAAAGGAACGAACCCUAUGUUUCAUCCAUAACCAUGAUCUAAGUUAUGUCCAAUGGAGAAUUUCUUCAGCAUCUGGUAUUCCUUGUUUAAAGAUAACCAAGUUUCGUAGCUCCCAAAUUCCCUUUACUACAGCCACCCAUAUGCCUUUCCAUACAGAUUCUGCUUAAUACUCAAAUAUGCUAAGUGGAAAUUCUAAAAGUGACACUUCAAAUCCUUAUGUUGGACAAAAAUGAUACCUAUCCACCUAAAGCAUAGAACCCACACUCGUUGCACAAUGGCACAUUCUAGGAAGAAGUGUUGAGAGGUCUCUUCCAAAGUUUGGCAACGCGCACAAAUAGAUUAACUAACUACCACUCGUCUUCUGAUAAGGUUGGUUCUUGUUGGCAUUCUAUCCAACAGUAUUCUCCAAGCAGUAGUUAAAACAUUAGGCAAUGCUUUACUCUGCCAUAACUGUUUAAAGAGUCCAUCAGUCGGGCCAUUGACUUGAUUAGCGAGACACACACGUAAGCUGACUUAACUGAGAAUUCCCUAUAGUAUCCCCUCCCCAAAGUUGGAGGUAUGAUUCCUCCAUAUUCAAAACUUCCUCAGAGAUGAACCUUGACAUUUAUUCUUCUUGUACAGAUUCCCAGUCAAACCUGACCCUCAUCCACCUCAACCUCUAAUACCAAACUACGUCUUCCCACACACCUACCUCACUCAUCAUCAUUCCCUAGUCCAAUGAUAUGGGAUACAACCUAAGGUACAAAUUAUCAAGUUUAUUAUCCAACAGUAUUCUCCAAGCAGUAGUUAAAACAUUAGGCAAUGUUUUACUCUACCAUAACUGUUUAAAGAGUCCAUUGGUCGGGCCAUUGACUUGAUUAGCGAGACACACACGUAAUCUGACUUAACUGAGAAUUCCCUAUCCCCUCUCCAAAGUUGGAGGUAUGAUUCCUCCCUAUUCAAAACUUCUUCAGAGAUGAACCUUGACAUUUAUUCAUCUUGUACAGAUUCCCAGUCAAACCUGACCCUCAUCCACCUCAACCUCCAAAACCAAACUACUUCUUCCCACACACCUACGUCGCCCAUCAUUAUCAUCAUUCCCUAGUCCAAUGAUAUGGGGUACAACCUAAGGUACAAAUUAGCAAGUUUAUUAUCACCAACCAAAACAUCCUCCCAGAAUCUUGUUCUGUUCUCAGAUCCAACUUUCCAAACUAAUGUUUUUUGGAACCAUCCUUGGUCUUCUCCGUCGCCACAUACUUUACUUAAGUAUCUCUACCACCAAGAUUUGAAUUUCACAUUGGUCUGGCUUCGCCAUGAUUCCAAGCCGUAUUUUGAUGCAAAAAUAUCUUCCCACUUUCCUUGUUCUUUUCUUACCAGCCACCAUUUCCAUUUUGCAAACAGAACACUGUUAACCAUUCUGGUAUCUCUAAUCCCCAACCCUCCUUCCUCUAAGGUUUACAUACAUUCUCCCAACUGACCCAGACUAUUGAUGUAUGAUAUCUUUCCCAUGCCCAAAGGAACCUCCUCUGGAUACUGAUUAUUCUAUUACACACUGAUGACGAAGCUUUAUAGAAGGAUAAAUAAAAUAGGGGUAAGACAGAAAAUACCAACUUAAUAAAGCAAAUUCUUCUCGCCAAAGAUAAGAAUCUUCCCUUCCAAGUACUCAACCUAACACUUAUCUCAUUCAAAAUUAGCUCCUAGAACUGCUUUUUCCAUGGGUUACCUCCUACUUCUAACCCCAAGUAAAUGAAAGGUAUCCUCAUGAGAGUACAAUUUAAAGAUUUUGCAUUUCAUUUAAGGGAAUUUCUCUCAACAUUUGAUUUGUGGAAGUUAAUUUUCAAACCAGCGACCAACUCAAAACACCUUAAUAUAGCUUUAAUUGCAAUGAUAUUGGAGAAGGAGUCUUCACACAUGACUAGAAUAUCAUCCGCAAAUUGUAACAUGCAAGAUUCAAUCUCACUCCUUCUCACCUUCACACCUUUAAGUAGAUUCUCCUUAAAGCGCUUGUCUAACUAGCCCGCCAAAGCCUCCAGCUACAACAAGAAAGAGGAACGAAGCUGAUGGAUCUCUCUGCCUGAACCCUCUAGAUGGAUAAAAUUCUGUCGUGGGGCUUCCAUUCACCAGAACUGAUACCGUUGCAGAGUCCAAGCAGUCUCUGACCCACUUGAUCCAUUUAUAGUGAAAGCUCAACCUGUGUAGCAUAUCAUAUAAGAAAUUCCACCUUAUCGAAUCAUAGUCCACCUUCAGACACAAUCCUUCCUUCGGUACUUCCUUAUCUCCUCAACCACCUCAUUGGCCACUAACACGCUAUCUAACGUUCCUUUGUCCUUCAACUGGAUGUCAUCAAUAGCCAUAGGUAGUACAUUCUUAAUCCGACAGUAUAACACCUUGGUAACAAUUUUAUAUAAAGCGCCCACUAGAGAUAUAGGUCUAUACUGAUCGAGAUUUAUGGGAUCUCUUACUUUAGGUACUAAGGUUAUAAAGGUUAUAAAAGAGGCAUUACAACCUUUCGGAAAGCAACCUGUUUCCUGAAAACAAAGCACUACUUCCAUGAUGUUGUGCUUAAGAGUAUCCCAGUUAUACUUGAUGAAGUUAAAACUAAACCCAUCCGGUCCUGAGCUCUUUGAACCUUCACACCGCCAAACCGCUUCCUUUACUUCUUCCUCUGUGACAUCAUAGAUCAUACUUAAACUAAGCUAACCUACAAAGGUAGAGGUAGUGAAUUGUUUUUCAAUCAAACUUAAAAGUACAAUUAAACAUAUAAAGAUGCACUAACAUGUUGUUUUGGUUGAAACUUCACUUAUUAAACAAUUAAUAUAUAUAUAUAUAUAUAAACUAAACAGUUUCAUAUUUUUUUUAAUAAAUUGUUCAAACUUUAUUGUAAAAAUUGAGGUUAGAUUUCACAAGUGUUCAUACCAACCUAAAGUAUUAUUAGAAAUUAAAAUUCAACAAAAAUGCUUGUAUUUGAUUCUCUUUUAGAUCAAACUUGAUUGGUUUAAUUAAAAAAAUCAAACACACUAAACUAAACCAAAUUUAUAUAAUUAUGACUUUACUUAAUUUAUUUUACAAGCUUGUAAACAUUCCUUUCUACUAAACAUUAUAGGUUAAUAUAUUAUUUAGUUGUUUCUAUAUUAACAAUGUUCGAGUAAGAUACAAGGCAAUUCUGUAUUGUAAAUUGUAACGUAAUAAAAGAAUAAAAACAGUUAAAGUUAAAAAAAUAAAAAAAACUAAUUAAAUCAAUUUAAUUAUAUAAAAAUUAUUUUUCUUCUAAAUUUAUUAUUUUUUUAUUUAAACAUAUUAUUGAUAUAAAGUAUUAUUAACAUUUAUCAAUGAUUAAUUUUUGUUAUAAAAUUUUACUGACUAUCUUUCGUAUGGUCUUUCAUCCCAAUGGUUCUUUGUUUCAUUAAUAAAAUUCGAACUCGAAAUUUACUUUGAGUAUAGUAUUACUCAAACCAACAACACUUAACUAUAAUUAACUUAACUAUAAUUAGGGGUUGGAUUGAAAACGGUGAAGUAACAAGAGGAAAAAUCCAAGCUAACCUAAUGGAUUAAAUUGAAAAUUAAAUUAAAUUUAUUUAAACUUAAACAAAUUACAUUUUUAACUGUAAAUUUAUUAAUUUAAUGGAUGAUUAAUUUGAUUUGAAAACUUUACUAAGACUUUCCAAGUCAAAAAUCUUAUACUUAAAAAGAAUAUUUAUUAAUUUAAUUGAUGGUUAAUUUGAUUUGAAAACUUUACUUCUUAAAAAGAAAUCCUAAACGAAAAGAAUGCAAUGCAAUCUAGAUCAGUUGUAUAUGGAUCAAAGAAGAUAAAAAUUUCAUAUUUCUUUCUAAUCUUUUGUAAUGAAGACAAAAGAAAAAAAAUAGAGUCGCCAUUUGUCAAAAGGUAGGCAUGCAUGGCUGUCGUGCUCGCAUUUGCUUACAAAAAUACUAGAUAUUUGAGCUUGAAAUAACUGAGUCUAGAGAAGACUCAUAAGUCUUCACAAUUAAUAGAAUGGAACCAAAAUGAGUCUGAGUCAUGUAAGCAUUGAGUAUUUAAUUCAAUCUUUGGAUUUUUGCGAUCUUCUUAUAUAGUCCAGCUUAUUCUGCCAUUGUUGGAUGGUUACAAAGCUUUGCUUCUCAUGCACAACAUCUGGUAUAGAAGAGUAGAAACCACUACAUGCAAUAUAACUUAAUUCAAAUGUUAUAAGCAUAAAUUAUUUUCUUUAAAACAAGACAGGGAAUGUGUAAAACAAUUUCAGUCACUCUUGCAUGCCAAACUUUUAUCAACACUCUUACUUACGUUAUACUUAGUGUCCAUGGCCAAAUCCAACUGCACUGCCACAACCACCACCACUAACUCCUAAGUUAUCACCACUAACUCCAAAGCCAUCACCACAACCAAAUCCGCCACCUCCACCUCCGAAUUCCUCCUCCUCCACCUACACCUCCUCUAAUUCCACCUCCAAUUUUGCAUAUAUGAAUUUGUUGAGAAACAUUUUUGGAGUGAUGACCAGUAUGUUUUACUUGCCUCUAUCAAAGGUAGUAAUUCUGAACAAAAUUGGGACCCUUUGAGAUAAGAAAAGUUGGUAGUGAUAAUGACAGAUUUUUUUUUGGAAAAAUAAAAUAAUGGUCUCCUCAAAUUCGCCUUUUGUAGGAGAAAGAGACCUCUUAAGUGACAACAUUGUAGUUCUUAAAUGACAAGUGUGUUAUGAAUGUUAUUAUUUCAUAGUAAAUGUGAAGACUUUUAAACAUUCAUCCAUCACAAUUUAUGUGUUUUUAAUCUUUAAAUAAUUUACAUACUUAUUAUGUAGGUGGAAAAUAAAGAAGUAAAAAAGAAAAUUCUAUAUUUAUUUUUAUUAUAAUAAAGUUUUUUAUUAUAUUUCUUUGUUACUGGCUAAAUGAAAAAGAUAAUAAAACAUGAGGGAGUAACUUAUUCAGUUCUUAUAUCUCUAAGAUACGACUUUAGGAAUUAUAAAUUGAAUUAAACUUAAUUAUAGUGAAUAUUAAUUAACAGUGUUUAAUUGAUGGGAAUCUUAAAGAAUCGAAAAUUGUAAUUUAUUGUGAGUAGGGUGCAUGAAGGAGAAAGAAAAGAAGUCAACCGAUAUGACCAUAAAUAUUGUGAUUCAACUAAUGCAGUGGUUUAUGGCAAUCAAAGAGAACUCGGCAAGGUCUCUGAAGAUGGACAGAAAGAUGCAGUCUAAAUUAAUGGUGCAUGUCAAGGUUUUUUAUGCCUUACGCAUGUGUGCAUGCAUCUAUAUAAAAUUAUUUCUCUAUUUUCUGUGUAAAAGGAAAUUGGUGUCUUUCUGUUAGAAUUUAUUUUUUAAAUUAUUCUUCGAUUUUCAUUUUUUUCAAUCUUAUCUCAGUGUUGAUGGGUGAAAUUAUUCAGUUUAGUUAAUUGGCUUGAUUAUACAAAGAGAACAAAAUAAUAUAAAAAACAAAGAAAACAUACAGAAAUACAGUUAAUAUACAUUUCUUUCUUUAUUUCUUUAUAUAUAUAUGUAUACAUGACAUGCUAAUUAAAACUUAAAUGAUAAAUAUUUUUACAAAAUUGUUAAAGAUGGAACUAUUUCAAAAAUAGAAGCAAAUGCUUGGAAUAAUAUAAUUUGAACUUAUUUCAAAUUUAAAAUAAUUAUAUAAUUUUUAUUUUAAAAUACUCAUAUCUUAAUCAACAGAAAGAGGCAAAGUUUGUAUUGUAGCGUUGAAGACAUGGCUCGGUGUGUGACUAAUUGAGACUACUGAAUAGAAAGAAUCCAUUUAAAAUGGGUGAUAAUAAAAGGGUAACAAGCGUAGUUUUCCAAAACAGGAAAAAGUCCAAAACAACAUAAAAGCUCUAUGUUGUCCCCAACUCUUUAUAAUAAUACACGAGGCCUUGAAGGAGAUUCAUGACUUUUUUGUUUCACUGUCUUCCUAUAUAUUAUGCAUUUGGUAUCUAUUAUAGGAGAAAAAACAUGAUUCCUCCAACCUUUCCUCUCCCUUCUUCCUUCUAUUCACAUCCAAGUUCAUACAAAACCCCAUAGAAAUGAGAGGUAGAGAUAUUCUCUAAAGCAACAAAACAAAAAAAGUUAUUAGAAAUUCAACAAGACCCUCCUCCUCCGUCUCCUCCUUCUCAACUCUCUUUUGCUUACAACCAUAAGAAAAAACUGGACACCUCAAAACCAAUACACUCCACCAUGAACAACAAAGCCCCAAGUUUUGAUGAUUCUAAUGUUGAUUGCAAUGUUUCCCCAAAUCAAUAUCUAAGACAACAACAUGGCCAACAACAGCUCAGAAGACAAGCUAGAAGAAGGCUUACUAAUAGGCCUUAUCAAGAAAAUCUAAUGAAUAUGGCAGAGGCAAGGAAAGAGAUUGUCACUGCCCUGAAAUACCACAGGGCAACCAUGAAACAGGCCAAUGAGCAUCAACAACUCCAACAACAUCAUCCACUGCCUUUCCAACCUCCCUUUUAUUCAAGGUUUAGCCCGGAUGGAAGAUUCAAGGCUAGCAGAAGGCCUAAGAUGUUUCUACCACCAUCAAACAAAAUUUCACUUUACUUAAAUGAUCUUUCCUUCUCCUCACCUUUCCCACCCCUUCCUUCUCUUCAUUUUCCUCCACCUCCUCUUCCUCUUCCUCCUCCUCCACUUUCAAAUUUAUACUCCAACACCAUUCCUUCCCCAUUUUCUCAUCCACCCCCUCAUCCAGAAACUCCCAAUUUCAUACUUCCAAAUCAGGCAUUCGGAUUCAAUCUUAAUCUACAUAGUUUCAACAGUUUAAAACCGCCCCUUUGCUUAAUAACAACACUUUAGUCCUUACCAUUUUGCUUAAUAACAACACUUUGAAUCCUACCCUUUUGCUUAACAACAACACUUUAGAUCCUACCCUUUUGUUGGAUAACAACAUGUUAGAUCCUACCCUUGUGUUGGAUAACAACAAGUUGGAUCCUAUCCUUGUGCUUAAUAACAACAUUUCAGAUCCUACCCGUGUGCUGAAUAACAAUAACAUUUUAGAACCUGCCAUUUUUCCAUACAACAAUAAAUCAUCACUGUGCUCUUACUCAUCUCCAACAUUAACUUUCCCUCCAUUUGUGACUGAUCAAGACGUUCCUUCGAUUGAAAUAUCACAGCCACAUGGAGAACGAGUUUCCACAAUGAUUAAUACCGUUGAAUCCAGUACUACAACCCAAGCUAGUGGAAGCAUGCAUGUGGCCAUGGAUGAAGAGGGCAUGGAAGAGAUCAGAGCAUUGGGCGAGCAACAUCAAAUGGAAUGGGAUGACAAUAUGAGUCUGGUCACUUCAGUUUGGAGGUUCAAUUGCUUACAUCAAAUGGAACAUAAUGCACUUGAAUUCAACAAUGAAGUUGAGAAAUGUCAUGGGACCUUUGAUGAUGAACUUGAAUUUUCUCUAUGGGAAAAUUAAUGAUCUGUAAGACAAGCUUACAAUAGUGUGCUCCCUGGAUUUAGUACAAGAUACCACUCUACUAUGGUAAGUUCUACGUAUCAUGUUUCGUUACUUUUGAAAAGAAAAUGUAUUGUGAGCAGGGAAAGUUAAUAAGGAUAAAAAUAAGUCAACUCAAACCAUCAAGGACAAUGUCACCAUUUGUCAAAAGGUAAGCAUGAAUAUUUUUUUCAGCAAUAAAUAAAUAAAAUAAAAUGAGACACUUCAGGGGUGUCCCAACUCUUAUACAAUCAACACCAUACCACAUACUAACCAAAUCAAAUGUACAGUUUUAGACUAUUACGAAGGAAGUACUAAAACUGCCUUUACUUGCAUAUCCUUAUGACUUAUACCCAAAAUGACCAAAACUACCCAAAUAAGUACCUAGCCCUGCACAUUCAAAAUGGUUCCAAAACAAAGGAAUAAUAGAUCUUGCAUAGAACUCUAGCCCUUGCAUUAAUACAAAACUACUACAGCGUUUUCAUCUUGUUGCAUAAUUGUAGCGUCAUAGCCUUCACAUAUGGAAUUUACCAUCUCCACAAUGGGCAAAUUCCUAGAACAUCAAUAUUGACGCACAUCCAGAAACCAACUCAACUCCUGCAAAAUAAACAAACCUCCAUAUUGACCUAUAGUCAAAGUUAAUAACACUUGUUUCACGCGUAUUCAACAAAAAGUACAAUAAAACAGUAUAAGCAAACAAAAUUACCUUAGCCACAAGAGCAUCAUUCCUGCUAAUGAACCCAACUUCAAUCUUUCUAUCUAAUAGAAGUUAAACAUGUCUUUGGAUCCAUACACCAUUGGGCAUAGGUAAAUGAGGCUAACCUCUCUUUACACGUAAUCCAUGCCCACACCUUGAGUUGAACCAAAAGUAAAAAUCUUUGAGCUAUCAACUCUACCAUUCUUAAAAAUUAUGAGAUUCCUUUGCUUCUAAAUUUUCCCAACCACAACAAUCCACACAUUUUCCCAGAUGUUCUUAAUCUUUUGUGUUGCCCAACCAAGUUUAAAUUGCAAAAAAUGGGAUAUGGAAUCCCAAUGGUACACCAUAAGCUCCCUUAUCCACUUACUACAUAAGCACCAAACCCUCCAAGCUACUUUACAUUUGAAGAACACAUGACUUCCGGAUUCCUCGACCUCCCCACACAUAACACAUAAGAUUUUUUCCAAAUUUACCCCUAUUUUCUCCAAGUUAACACAAGUCGGUAGCCUAUCCCCCAAAACUCUCCAAGCAGUUAUCAUUGAAAAAGGUAACGCCUUAAUGCUCCAAAAUGCCUCAUAGAGUGAUCUAAAACCCCACUUCUUGUGUCCUUAGACAUCUAUAUGUUGAACUUGCAUUUGAUCCCAUGCAUGGUUACCGGUGCUCGCAUUUGCUUACAAAAAUACUAGGAAUUUGAGCUUGAAAUAACUGAGUCCUAGAGAAGACUCAAAGGUCUUCACAAUUAAUAGAAUGGAACCAAAACGAGUCUUAGUCAUGUAAGCAUUGUGUAAUUAAUUCAAUCUUUUGGAUUUUUCCGACCUUCUUAUAUGGUCCAACUUAUUCUGCCAUUUUUUGGAUGGUUUCGUUUUAGCUCAAACUUCAAUUUCAUGUAUAACCAUUUGCUAUUCAUAUGCAAUUUCUAUCCUUCUAUUUGGUCAAGCUAACAUCAAGUUAAACAAAAACAAAAAUGUGUGUGCGUUGACAUGCAGGUUGCAAUAAUGCUCACAAAAAUGGAAAAGUACUUUGGAUAACACAUCAAAUUUACAUUAAAGAGAACCAUGAAAUAUAAGAAAUGUAUUAAUUGUACACAUUUUUCAACUAUGUUGAAUUUAUGAUCAUAGAUGAACUUAGGUUUAGGUUUAAAAUUAUUAUAACAGUGUAGUUAGGUAGGUGGUAAGACUAGGUUUGAACGAAGUGAUAGAGGUACCUAAGUUUUGCAUGUAUGAAUUUGUUGAGAAAUAUUUUUGCAGUGAUGACCACUAUCUUUUACUUGCCUCUAUCAAAGGUAGCAAUUCUAAACAAAAUUGAGACCCUUUUGAGGUAAGAAAAGUUGGUAGUGUUUAAAACAAUUAAACAAUAAUGGUCCACUCAAAUUGGUCGUUAUAGAAGAAAGACAUGUAAGGUUUUUAGGAUUGAAGAAAGUGGAUUCAAGUGUGAGUGAGUUUUUUGUGGGUGAGGGUUUUUCAUUUGUAUAUGUUUUUGUGGGUUUUUUGUGGUAUUAAGGGAUGUUUUGGUUGUAUUGUGUUUUGCCCUUAUAAGGAUCCUGACAGUGUAGUUGAUGUUUUCUUUUGAUAUGGCCUACCAUUCAUAUUCAUUAUUGAGGAUUGGUUGGACGGUUUCUUGAGCCUGAAGUUUGUUUAUAGGUCAGGUGUUAAGCAGGUUGGCCAUGAUCAUUUUUGUAUAAGGGUUGGGACACUCCUGAAGUAUUUGUAUAAGGGUUGGGACACCCCUAAAGUGUCUCAUUUUAUUUUAUUUAUUAUUUGCGGAUAAAAAAAUAGGAGAAAGGGACCUUACGAACUUGUUAGAGGUAAGAGGUGAGUGACAACAUUGUAGUUCUUAAUUAACAAGUGUGUUAUCAAUUUUAUUAUUUCAUAGUAGAUGUGAAGACUUUUGAUAAACUUAUCCAUCAAAAUUCAGUACUUAUUUUAUCUAUCAUUUCAAGGGUAAGAUGAUAAAUGAACAUUAAUAGUUUAAUGUCGUCUUGUGAAGAAAUCAAUUCAAACUUUAAGAAAUUUAUCUUCUAGCUUUUUUAAACAAUGUAGAUCUUGUAUGAAGGUAACAUCUGAAAGUCUCAUGCUCCCUCGUAUUAUAUCUUAUGAUUCUAUACUCUUUUGAAAUCAUGAUGAAAUUUAAAAGAAAUAAAUUUUUAGUUUUUAUAAUGACUUUAUUUAUUUUUUAUUUAUAAUGACAUCAUCCAUUUAAGAUUCACCACCCUCACAAACAUUCAUACUAGCACACUUUUCACUUUCCAUUCUAGAUUGACCACCCUCACAAACAUUGUCACAAACCCUUUAUUCACUCUCCAUUCCAGUCCUAACAUGCUCCACAUCAUCAGCUAGACAAUGAAAUUGAGUCACAGUCUAUGAAACAAUGCAAAAAGAAAAAAAAUACUUACUACAAUUUCAAAAUCAUGUUUCCACUUAGCACAACCAAGAAAAACACACUAUGACAAAGCACUAUUUUCUUAACCUUGCUUCCAAUUGCAACAACAAUGACACAAUUGCAAUCACUCAAUAUCAAACACCUUCUUAUACACUAUAAAUGAUUCAAACAUUUUCAGUCAAAUGCAAUCAUUCCUAGGUUUAAAAUUCAAAGUAAAAUCCACAAACCAUAUACUCCAUUUGUCACAUCAUAAACUCUUAAAUACCGUCUAUUAUUGAGGAAGUUUUACAUGACUUCAUAAAAUACAAUGAUGCAAUAGAACUACACAUUCUAUGAAGAACGAAAUACAAUUUUUCAUGGGACGAAAAACAUAUUUAACUCUUAUAUUAUUUAGAUUUUUUUAAUAAUCUCAUAAAAAAAUUAUAAUAAAUAAAUGAAUCGUAUUUUAAAAAUGAAUCUUUAAUUUUACAGUUAGAUAAACAAAUUUUAAAUAUGACUCUAAUUUAUUUUGUAUAGAAGUUGAAACUAUUAUAAACUAUUCCUAAGAAAAGAAAAUAUUAUUUUAGAAUGGUUUGGAAUUGAUAUAUGUAUCAAUGCUACAUUUAACGCGUCUACUUACAAGUAUCUUUUGAAAUAAUUAUGCUAUAGUAAACAAAUACCAGAAAUAAAAUAUAAUAUCUUAUAGUUAAAAAAAAUAAGUUACAAAAUUAGAAACUUCUAAGUUAUAACCAAACAAAUAUUAUAUUACAAUUAAUACAAUAUAUUUUAAUAAUGUAAUUAUUAAAAUUUUUGAAACUUUUAUAUAUAUAUAUAUAUAUAUAUAUUUGUUUUUAAAGUAAUACAGUAGCUGGAUUGAAAAUUUAGCUUUUAAGAGUAUUCAGAACUCUAAAGUUGUAGGUACAUGUCGCAAGUGAAUAUGCUGACAAGACUGAGUUAUUAGGCUUUAAAUAACACCUAUAUAAAAAAAUAUGUAUAAAUUGAAUAACAUCAUUUUAAACUAUUAAAAGUUGAAAAUUAAAUAAAACUAAAGGUUUUAUUAUAUUUAUUCUUUCAGUAGAAUUGUCUGAUUUAGUUUUGCAAAAUAAAUUAAACCAAAUUUAUAAGUUACAAAUUUGAAGUAUUCAUGAAAGGAUUAACCAUAAUGUUGUUUUGGUUGAAAUUUCAUUUUAAGUUGUUUCAUUGCUCCAUUAUGAAGUCAUUAAUUGAUAGACAAACUAAACAUUUUCACAUGAUGGGUAACUGAUAAAAUGAUAUGUUAGAUUUUUUCAACGUGAUUAAGUUUAUUGAUAUUAAUACUAAUAUUGGUAAAGUUCUUCUUCCUCUUCGUGUGAGAUGAGAGUUUCCUUCACCAGGCUAGAUUAAAAUUAACACUGAUGGGGCUGCUAGGGAUAUCCUGGUUUUGCUACUUGUGGAGGUAUUUUCUGUGGGAAUUUAUUGGAGCUUUCUCUGCGUUUCUUGAAGUUCAGAUUGCUCUAAUUGUUGAGUUUUAUGAGGUUAUACAUGCUAUGGAGGAAACUCAAAAGAUGGGGCUUACCAAUGUCAGGUUGGAAUGUGAUUCUGCUUUGGUUUGCUGCGUUUACUGCUAGGACAAAUGUUCCUAGGAUGCUUCGAAAUCGAUGAAAUAUUUGUCUUAAUUACUGUGGGAAAAUCAGGUUUAGGAUUACUCAUAUUUUUCGUGGAGUGAAUGUUCAUGCUGAUAAGUUGACUAAUUUAGGAUUUAUUCAUAGAAAAUAAUUUCAUUGUUUUUUUUCAUAAGCAACAUUGGUAUAAUAAGUUUUCAUCUAAUCUAUUAUUAGAAUUCUUUAUUAAUAGGUAUAGUCUAUCUAUGUAUCGUUUUUGUUAACAUAUGAGUUUUGGCCUAGUCCCUUCAUAUUUUUGUAUUUUUUUUAAUAAUACUUUUUUCAUGUGAUGAUAGAUGAUUGUUUUUACUUGAGAUGUCAGUCUAGCUGAAAUGUUAAGUUGCAUAAAGAUAUCUAAGAUGAAAGCAUUUUUAUAAAACUAAACACUUUCAUAUUAUCCUUUUAAUAAAAUUUUCAAACCUGUAUACUAAAAACUGAGGUUAGAUUUCAUAAUUCUUCGUAGUUGAAUCACACCAACCUAAAAUAUUAUUAGAAAUUAAAAUUCAACAAAAAUGCUUGUGAAUAAUAUCUUUCAUUCUAUAGAUCAAAAUUUAACACAGUAAACUAAACCAAAUUUAUAUAAUUAUGACUUUACUUCAUUUUUUUACUUGUAAAUGUUUCCAUUCCUUUCUACUAAACAUUCUAAGUUAAUAUAUUAGUUGUGUCUAUAUUAAUUAUGUUCUAUUAAGAUAUAUAGGCAAUUCUGUUUUGUAAAUUGUAACAAGUAAUAAAGGAAGGCUGAUAAAAAAUUGUAAUAAUAAAUAAAGUUAAAGUUAAAAAAAUAAAAAAAACUAAUUAAAUCAAUUUAAUGAAAUAUAUAAAAAUUAGUUUUUUUUAAUUUAUUAUCUUUUAACUAACCAUAUUAUUGAUAUAAAGUAUUAUUAACUUUUAUAAAUGACUAAUUUUUAUUAUAAAUUUUCACUAAUUAUUAUAUUUGAUAUUUUUUUUAUUAACAAGAAAUAAUUAAAAUAAAUCGACUCACUUAAGGAUGGUCAAACUAUCAUACAGAGUAAGAAAGGACAAAUAUUUUCACAUGCACAUAAAAAAUCAUAAAGAAAUCUUCUACCGCCUUUUUCAACACUACCUACUACAAAAGAAACAAAAAAAAUCGAGAAACAAUUCUUAUAAUGACAUUAAAUUGAAUACAUACCUACCAAGAAUAUCUUUGAAGCAUCAAAGACCAAACCUUAAUUUGUGUUAGAAAAAAAACUUCAGUAUGAUUGAUCACUCCACCUUUACAUAAACAAUUAUUUAUGUGUCUUCAAAUCUCGCUAACCUGUAAUAGGAUUAACAGAGGUGAAAACAUCCAGAAUUUUGAAACGUUCAAAAUGUGACCCAUCAGCCAGUGAGACAAUGGGGGAUAAGCUUCAUAGUCAAGAGGGAAACAGUCCGGACCGCUAAGUGAUAAAGGAGGUACGGGUGCAGAGACAACUAGGAGGUUUGUCUAGGAGUAGCCACCCUUGAAAGAGUGCGGAAUAGCUCGAGGACUCUUGCGCCGAGGAUGAAUGGACUAAGCGACCUACUGAAGCUAUAGGAUGUCAAAUUGAAUCGGUAGGUAAAGAACGAUACGAUCUACCGAACUCACUCUUAACCAAUAGUAACAAAGAUUCCAAAUUAGUCAAACAACUCUACAUCCAAAAAAUAAAUAAUUCGUUGACUCUCUAAUAUCCUGCACAAGCAACAAAUAUUGCUCUCUACCGCUAUCUCUCGUCCCUCCAAAUAAACUAUCUUAUUUGUAAUAACCCUCCAAGUUGUCACAUGAGUUGAAGGAAGUGCCUUUGCUUUCGUCGUCAAUCAACCGCACCUCACCCCUCACCUUAUUCCUCAUCAACCUGCACUGUCCCUGCCACCGCACACCCGCCGCGCACCUCCGUACCGCCGCCGCACCCCGAUCUCGCGCCUGCGCCGUCCGCCGCGACGCGCAGCCCCAGCUCCCGCAACAGCGCCAGCGCUGUUCGCCGACACACGCGACUCCAACGCUGCCCCCGCUACCGCACCACCGCCAACCUCCGUCCCCGCGCUGCCGCCUUUGACGUCUUCAAGAACGUGUCUUUUUCGGAACCCCCAACGUUUUCCUCCGCCGCGUCGCGAGCCAUUCUCGGCAUCGCAGAGAGUUCCGCUCCAACAGGCACUCUGUCUUGCUCACCUUCUGAUUCUCCGCCGUGACCUCCACAGGCAUCGCCGCCUCCCAUCCUGUUCGCCGCUCCUCCAGACCAAACCCUAACUGUAUAGCCACGUCAGCAAUUAGGUAAAAAAUUAGGAUUUUCCCAUCCAACAUUUUGUACCCAAUUGGGCCUGAACCGGCCCACUACUACACAUUAAGUGAUUUGCCCAUAUUUCAGCAGGAACCAUCCACGUUUUUCAAUUUAAUAUUCCUCUCUUUCCUUAAUUCCAAAGUUAGUUUUGAGUCUUUCCAGCAGAAUUAAUUCCUCCACUAAAGUAUAUGCCACCUUUUCAAUACUCUCCCUUCAUCGGAAACUGAAGAGGCUUCUCCUUUCAUCCAAUGCUUCUUUCAUUAACAAAAUUCAAACUCGAAAUUUACUUAAUAAGUUGAGUUUAUUAUUACUCAAACCAACAACACUUAAUUAUAAUGAGGGGUUGAAUUCAAAGAGGUGAAGUAACAAAAAUAUAAAUCCAAGCUAACGGAUUAAAUUGAAAACUAAAUUACUUUAACAU
RNAcentral lists this long non-coding RNA (37050 nucleotides) under Phaseolus vulgaris (common bean). Its description in RNAcentral is "long non-coding RNA (PVUL_LNC004833)". The stretch from base 35770 to 35891 matches the Rfam family "Bacterial large subunit ribosomal RNA", at positions 1058 to 1189 of the family's 2925-position model. The record is from RNAcentral. Lineage: Eukaryota; Viridiplantae; Streptophyta; Magnoliopsida; Fabales; Fabaceae.